GAUGAAGAACGCAGCGAAGUGCGAUAAGUAAUGUGAAUUGCAGAAUUCCGUGAAUCAUCGAAUCUUUGAACGCAAAUUGCACUUUCUGGUAUUCCGGAGAGUAUGCCUGUUUGAGGGUCAGUGUAAUAAAUAAAUCGUGGUUGUUACCACCUUUCGUGGUGACGCUUCGGAAUUGAGUCGUCUUACCUUCGGUUAAGUGACUUAAAAUUUUUUCAUACGAUUUCGAAACGUAUUUAAUGUAUUAUGUUGUACGUUUACGAAUAUCGAAUGUUUUUAUUAGGAGCGUUCAUUUUCAUGAAUCGUGUCUAUAAUUUUUUUUUUUGACCUCAAAUCAGGUAAGAAUACCCGCUGAACUUAAGCAUAUCAAUAAGCGGAGGA
This 378-nucleotide unclassified non-coding RNA is filed under the name soil metagenome. RNAcentral describes it as "partial contains 5.8S ribosomal RNA, internal transcribed spacer 2, and large subunit ribosomal RNA". The stretch from base 1 to 120 matches the Rfam family "5.8S ribosomal RNA", at positions 35 to 154 of the family's 154-position model. The record is from RNAcentral.